GCAUUAUAUUAUUACUCUAACAACAAUUAGUCCAUGGGUACAAGAAAUACCCAUAGAAUUCAUACAGAAUUUUGAAUGUGUUGACGCGGCAUAGAAUUAUUCGUUAUUUAAUUCCUUUUCAAUUUAAGCCAAAAACUGGUUCCAAAAGCAAAUUGGUUUGACCCUUAAAAUGAACCCAUCUUCAUUUCCCCCAAAUUACAAAGCAAGAGGAAAAUCGUCACUUUUUUCAUCGUCGAAUUUGUGGUCCUCCAAAGUCGGUUGACAUCUAGACCAGUGAUUGGCGUGCACCAUCUGAUGUAUUGUAAAGACGACAGUCCACCGAAACCCAACUUGGAAACUGUAUUUGAAGAUAACAGUUGAAUCGUAGAUGUUGAGCAAAGGUAUUUUGUUAUUUACUGUUUUAUACAUUUCUUUAUCAAAUUUAAGGUUAAUUUAUGGUUAAGCUAUCUUAGACUUGUUUGCACGAUUUGAAUGUUUUUUCCUCUUUAUUUUGUCAUAUAUUUGAAGUAUAUUGGUUAUGGAGCCUGAUUGUUGAUAAAGUUGAAGUCUUUGAUUUCUUGUUCUUCAUAAAUUUGUGAGUUUGUUUAUAAAUUGAUGGUUUUUCAGAAAUUUUGUGGCAAAAAGCUUUUUGAUUCCUAAUUAAAUAAUAGCAUAUCUUGCUCUAUUAUUGAUUGUUAUUCAGUUUACUAGGAUGUUAUUGAAAACAGCAUGUUGCUUCUUGCUUCUAAAUAGGGUAGCUCAUACAUGAAAUUUUGAGAAUUCAGCUUUUUUCUUUAUUUUGUUUUAGCAAUUUAUUGUGGAAAGUUUGAUGAAUUUGAUACUUUCGUUCUUUGUUUAUAUUGUGGAAAGCUUUCUGAUUUUGUGCCAAAUUUCAAAGCUAAAUGAUGGUGGAAGAAAUUAUCCUCGUUUUAUUGAAUUUGUAUUUGCAAGGUGGUAGUAAAUGUAUCUUAGUGAAAUGCAAUUAAGUCAAUGCUUUGUUUGUAGUGUACUGCUAAUAAUAAGUUCCAAUGUGGGAUUUCAUAAUUUAAUUGCAUUCAUGUGGUUUCUUCAACAAUAGUUGACUAGAAUGAGAAGAAGGAAUUUCGGAGUUUGUCACAGCUAUAGAAUUAACACUCACUACUUUGGACAAUACCAAACAAAACGUGGAUUCCCUUCAUGUAAAUGCGGAUUUCAAAAAUGUUUUGAGGUAAAACGAGAUACUGGAAACAAAGGGCGCUAGUUCUUCACGUGUAAUAAUGACUGUUGAUUUUUCAAUUGGGUGAAAAUGAAGAUUCAAGUGGGGAGUCAAGUAUCUUUAACGAAGAGGUGAAUCAUGAGCCCAAUGAGGAAUAUGAAGACUUGCCAAGAAUCUUCGACGGCCUAGCUCGAAUUUUCGAAAAAUGAGACAUGGACAUAACAUUGUACGUAAUAUUUCGCAAAGGAAAAAGGAAUUGUAGAAUGUGAUGGGAAAGAGAAGGGACCAACGUGAACGGGUAAUGUCAGUUUUUAUUUGCUAUAUGCUUUGUUCGUACCAUAAGACUUCUUGAUCAUAGUAGGCUCCAAUGUUCAAUACUUAAUUUGUCAAUGUCGUUCGAGCAUUGGACAUAAGUUUAAUAUUUUGCGAAUCAUUGUAAUAUAUUAACAAUUUGGAUAUCUGUUUCAUAUCAUGGUUUAUCUUGUGACUCAUUGUAAUAUAUUAACGGUUUGGAUAUAUGUUUCAUAUAUGUUACAAAA
Molecule: long non-coding RNA, 1713 nt
Filed under: Olea europaea subsp. europaea
Lineage: Eukaryota; Viridiplantae; Streptophyta; Magnoliopsida; Lamiales; Oleaceae
Source: RNAcentral